Molecule: transfer RNA, 56 nt
Filed under: Rhabditophanes sp. KR3021
Lineage: Eukaryota; Metazoa; Nematoda; Chromadorea; Rhabditida; Alloionematidae
Description: tRNA-Val
Source: RNAcentral
AGAUUUUUAGUUUAUUUUAGAAUAUCUCACUUACAAUGAGAAGGAUUUAAAAUCUU